GUGCUCACUUCAGCAGCACAUAUACUGUAUAACAUUGGAAUGAUGCAGAGAAGAUUAGCAUGGCCCCUGCGCGAGGAUGACACACAAAUUUGUGAAAUGUUCCAUAUUUUU
Tursiops truncatus (common bottlenose dolphin) is the source of this 111-nucleotide small nuclear RNA. The record is from Ensembl. NCBI's taxonomy places the organism in Eukaryota, Metazoa, Chordata, Mammalia, Artiodactyla, Delphinidae.